AUUGAACGCUGGCGGCAGGCCUAACACAUGCAAGUCGAGCGGCAGCGGGAAAGUAGCUUGCUACUUUUGCCGGCGAGCGGCGGACGGGUGAGUAAUGCCUGGGAAAUUGCCCAGUCGAGGGGGAUAACAGUUGGAAACGACUGCUAAUACCGCAUACGCCUACGGGGAAAGCAGGGACCUCGGGCCUUGCGCGAUUGGAUAUGCCCAGGUGGGAGUUAGCUUGUUGGUGAGGUAAUGGCUCACCAAGGCGACGAUCCCUAGCUGGUCUGAGAGGAUGAUCAGCCACACUGGAACUGAGACACGGUCCAGACUCCUACGGGAGGCAGCAGUGGGGAAUAUUGCACAAUGGGGGAAACCCUGAUGCAGCCAUGCCGCGUGUGUGAAGAAGGCCU
RNAcentral lists this ribosomal RNA (392 nucleotides) under uncultured bacterium. RNAcentral describes it as "bacterial SSU rRNA". It matches the Rfam family "Bacterial small subunit ribosomal RNA", at positions 30 to 417 of the family's 1533-position model. The record is from RNAcentral.